GGAGACAAGAAGGCAUCUUCUUGUUUUUAAAAGACCUAGCAAUAGGUAUGCUUAGGGAGGAGCUUGCGUCACAUUAGUUAGUGGGUGGGGUAAAGGCCUACCAAGACUAUGAUGUGUAGCCGGGCUGAGAGGUUGAACGGCCACAUUGGGACUGAGACACGGCUCAAACUCCUACGGGAGGCAGCAGUAGGGAAUUUUCGGCAAUGGAGGAAACUCUGACCGAGCAACGCCGCGUGAACGAUGAAGUAUUUCGGUACGUAAAGUUCUUUUAUUAGGGAAGAAUAAAUGAUGGAAAAAUCAUUCUGACGGUACCUAAUGAAUAAGCCCCGGCUAACUAUGUGCCAGCAGCCGCGGUAAUACAUAGGGGGCAAGCGUUAUCCGGAAUUAUUGGGCGUAAAGGGUGCGUAGGCGGUUAAAUAAGUUUAUGGUCUAAGUGCAAUGCUCAACAUUGUGAUGCUAUAAAAACUGUUUAGCUAGAGUAAGAUAGAGGCAAGUGGAAUUCCAUGUGUAGUGGUAAAAUGCGUAAAUAUAUGGAGGAACACCAGUAGCGAAGGCGGCUUGCUGGGUCUUUACUGACGCUGAGGCACGAAAGCGUGGGGAGCAAACAGGAUUAGAUACCCUGGUAGUCCACGCCGUAAACGAUGAGUACUAAACGUUGGGUAAAACCAGUGUUGAAGUUAACACAUUAAGUACUCCGCCUGAGUAGUACGUACGCAAGUAUGAAACUUAAAGGAAUUGACGGGACUCCGCACAAGCGGUGGAUCAUGUUGUUUAAUUCGAAGGUACCCGAAAAACCUCACCAGGUCUUGACAUGCUUCUGCAAAGCUGUAGAAACACAGUGGAGGUUAUCAGUUGCACAGGUGGUGCAUGGUUGUCGUCAGCUCGUGUCGUGAGAUGUUGGGUUAAGUCCCGCAACGAGCGCAACCCUUAUUGUUAGUUACCAGCACGUAAUGGUGGGGACUUUAGCAAGACUGCCAGUGAUAAAUUGGAGGAAGGUGGGGAUGACGUCAAAUCAUCAUGCCCCUUAUGACCUGGGCUACAAACGUGAUACAAUGGCUGUUACAAAGGGUAGCUGAAGCGCAAGUUUUUGGCGAAUCUCAAAAAAAC
This 1107-nucleotide ribosomal RNA is filed under the name 'Dodonaea viscosa' witches'-broom phytoplasma. RNAcentral's name for it is "bacterial SSU rRNA". It matches the Rfam family "Bacterial small subunit ribosomal RNA", at positions 173 to 1283 of the family's 1533-position model. Lineage: Bacteria; Bacillati; Mycoplasmatota; Mollicutes; Acholeplasmatales; Acholeplasmataceae. The record is from RNAcentral.